This 433-nucleotide ribosomal RNA is filed under the name uncultured bacterium. RNAcentral's name for it is "partial 16S ribosomal RNA". It matches the Rfam family "Bacterial small subunit ribosomal RNA", at positions 29 to 507 of the family's 1533-position model. The record is from RNAcentral.
AACGAACGCUGGCGGCAUGCCUAACACAUGCAAGUCGAACGAGACCUUCGUGUCUAGUGGCGCACGGGUGCGUAACGCGUGGGAACCUGCCCUUAGGUUCGGAAUAACUCCCCGACAGGGGUGCUAAUACCGGAUAAUGUCUUCGGACAACAGAUUUAUCGACUUUGGAUGGGCGCGCGUUGGUUUGGCUAGUUGGUAGGGUAAAAGCCGACCACGGCGAGGAUCCAUAGCUGGUCUGAGAGGAUGGGCAGCCACACUGGGACUGAGACACGGCCCAGACUCCUACGGGAGGCAGCAGUGGGUAAUAUUGGACAAUGGGCGAAAGCCUGAUCCAGCAAUGCUGGGUGAGUGAUGAAGGCCUUAGGGUUGUAAAGCUCUUUUACCCGGGAUGAUAAUGACAGUACCGGGAGAAUAAGCUCCGGCUAACUCCGUG